Molecule: ribosomal RNA, 491 nt
Filed under: uncultured bacterium
Lineage: Bacteria
Description: partial 16S ribosomal RNA
Rfam family: Bacterial small subunit ribosomal RNA
Source: RNAcentral
AGUGAACGCUGGCGGUAGGCCUAACACAUGCAAGUCGAACGGCAGCACAGUAAGAGCUUGCUCUUACGGGUGGCGAGUGGCGGACGGGUGAGGAAUACAUCGGAAUCUACUUUUUCGUGGGGGAUAACGUAGGGAAACUUACGCUAAUACGGCAUACGACCUACGGGUGAAAGCAGGGGAUCUUCGGACCUUGCGCGAUUGAAUGAGCCGAUGUCGGAUUAGCUAGUUGGCGGGGUAAAGGCCCACCAAGGCGACGAUCCGUAGCUGGUCUGAGAGGAUGAUCAGCCACACUGGAACUGAGACACGGUCCAGACUCCUACGGGAGGCAGCAGUGGGGAAUAUUGGCAAUGGGCGCAAGCCUGAUCCAGCCAUACCGCGUGGGUGAAGAAGGCCUUCGGGUUGUAAAGCCCUUUUGUUGGGAAAGAAAAGCAGCAGGUUAAUACCCCGCUGUUCUGACGGUACCCAAAGAAUAAGCACCGGCUAACUUCGUA